RNAcentral lists this ribosomal RNA (400 nucleotides) under uncultured bacterium. Its description in RNAcentral is "bacterial SSU rRNA". It matches the Rfam family "Bacterial small subunit ribosomal RNA", at positions 359 to 776 of the family's 1533-position model. The record is from RNAcentral.
GAAUCUUGGACAAUGGGGGCAACCCUGAUCCAGCGACGCCGCGUGGGUGAUGAAGGCCUUCGGGUUGUAAAGCCCUUUCACCGGGGACGAUGGUGACGGUACCCGGAGAAGAAGCACCGGCUAACUCCGUGCCAGCAGCCGCGGUAAGACGGAGGGUGCUAGCGUUGUUCGGAAUCACUGGGCGUAAAGGGCUCGUAGGCGGCCAACUAAGUCGGAUGUGAAAUCCCCAGGCUCAACCUGGGAACUGCAUCCGAUACUGGAUGGCUUGAAUUCGGGAGAGGGAUGCAGAAUUCCAGGUGUAGCGGUGAAAUGCGUAGAUAUCUGGAGGAAUACCGGUGGCGAAGGCGGCAUCCUGGACCGACAUUGACGCUGAGGAGCGAAAGCUAGGGGAGCAAACGGG